This 1012-nucleotide long non-coding RNA is filed under the name Vulpes vulpes (red fox). RNAcentral's name for it is "lncRNA (ENSVVUG00000010190.1)". The record is from RNAcentral. Lineage: Eukaryota; Metazoa; Chordata; Mammalia; Carnivora; Canidae.
AAGUGACUUGCCCCAGAUCAUGCAGUUGGCAGAAGCACCAGGAUAUUUUCAUUCCCAAUACACCAAACACUUGGAAAAGUAACAAAAAAAGGGUAACUGAGAGAAGAAAAGGUGGUGAAAAGAGAAAGUGAGAAGUAGAGAAAGUCAUAGUGAGGAAAUAGGUUUAAAAAAAAAAAAGCAAAUAGAGAGUUGCCAACAGUAUUCUCUGUUUCAGAACAUGCUCUUCUUGGAUGCAUGCCACACUGGAUUUUAAACUAUGAGCUUCUGGGAAACCCUAAGCCCUGGAAUGAUGUUGGCAAAACCCCUUGGGUCUCUGGGAUGGCUUUUGUUUCUUCUUAACCCUGAGAAUGGAGUCCAGGCUGGAGAGGUCGCAUGCAGAUGCUGGAGAAGGAGGAAGGUUUGAAGAGGAAACUUGCUGUUACCCCAACUAAGAGGGCAGAGCUGCAGCUCAGACAGCCCUAGGAGCCGGAACUGCAGGAGGUUCUUGGAAGAUGCUGGAUCAGAGUAUGGAGAGCUAAGGGGUGGGCAGGCCCCUCACCCACCCCACUCCCAAGGGACUGCAUUCAGGCCUGCUGCACACAGACAGGGCUUUUGGGGACAGUCAGUGUAAGCCUGAGAAGAAGCCACAGCCAGCCGAGGACUCUGACAGACGGCUGUCAAGGGCAGAUUGGGUGCACAGGAAAGAUUAUUCAGAGGUUACUUUGACUUCGAAAUUAAUAUUCCAUUUAUUAAAAAAAUCCAGCUCUUUGUGCAACAUUUAAAUUCAGCUUACAGAUCUUAUUAUUCUAUUUAUAGUUCUAGCAAUCAUUAACAAUAGCUUUUUAAAAGGACUUUGAUUAACAUUAGGUCUCAUUUACAAACUUAGUCUAACUUCUUCUAAUAUUUUAAGUUGCAUUUAUAUGUUAAAUUAUUAAAUAUACUUAAUUUUCCCAGAUGUUUGACUUAACAAAAAUGCUUCUUCCCUAUGUACUUGAGUAACACUGACAGAUCUAAUAAAUUAAGCUUAUAAUAA